Lemur catta (Ring-tailed lemur) is the source of this 846-nucleotide long non-coding RNA. RefSeq lists it as uncharacterized. The transcript has 6 exons. NCBI's taxonomy places the organism in Eukaryota, Metazoa, Chordata, Mammalia, Primates, Lemuridae. The record is from RefSeq and is a predicted model, not a curated record.
UCAUAAAAGGUCUGGUGGGAAGGAAGCUCAAUUUAACAAAGUCAAACAACUGAAUGCCCACUAUGCACAAGGCACCGGGCUGCGCAGGACACUACCAAGCCGAGCCAUAGCCUGGCCAGGAGCAUCAAUCUUGCAAGCCAGGAAGGCUAAUGUUGUAGCUGUGACAAAGUAUCAGAUUUGACUCCAAGCUUCCUGGAAGCAAAAAUGGAAACAUGGAGAGCUGCACACUGCCCCUUACCUGAUGCCAAGGUGCCAUAUUUGAAGGUAACAUGUCCCACACCCCCUCAGGAGGAAGUGAUUAAAUCAGCCAGGAAAGCAAGCAAAUCAGAGAACAUGACCCCUGCCGGACCAGGGCAGAGCCUGCCUUUCAGGAAGAAGGUACUUGGAGCAGGUGGAGUGGCCCAGAGGCACAAUCUAGGAACCGCCAGCCACCCCCUGGGGGAGGAGGACGAGUGAGCAUCUUAAGCAGAGGAGUGACAUGCUCAGCUUGACCAUUCUGUAGCUAGUCCGAACAUCCUAGGAAAGAAGACAAAAAGAAAAGAAGAAAUGACCCAGGUCAAUCUCCUGCUGAAUCCCUCUUGGCAGCAUUUGCACUGGGAAAGAUGAUAGAGAAGCCCGAUCUGCACAACGCGUUUGCCAGGGCUGAGCUGGCACUUUAUGGUAACAAUGUUAUUCUCCCCGUUUGACAGAUGAAGAAAUGGAAGCUUGGCAAGGUUUAAAACCUUGCCCAAGCUCCCAGAGCUAGUGAUGACCAGACCAGGAGAGCGACCAGGGCUCAGUGACUUUCCACCACGGUGUGGGGCUGACAGAGAUGGGGUCUUACUAUAUUGCCCAGGCUGACCUCCA